Brassica napus (rape) is the source of this 679-nucleotide long non-coding RNA. RefSeq lists it as uncharacterized. The transcript is spliced from 3 exons. NCBI's taxonomy places the organism in Eukaryota, Viridiplantae, Streptophyta, Magnoliopsida, Brassicales, Brassicaceae. The record is from RefSeq and is a predicted model, not a curated record.
AUGCGAAGUACAGGAUCUCUUACUUCUUUUUGACAACUCUUUGUCAUUCCGACGUGGCCACUCUUCUUUGUUCACUGGCUACGAUCUCUCUUUCUCUGUUUCAACGACAGUUAGAUUGUUACGGGUUCUGUACUUCAUUCAAGCUCUAGCUUCGCACUAUUAUUGAUAUCUUUUUGUUAGUAUAACAGAGGAUUCUAAAGAGUAUUACAAAGCAAUCUGGUGAGUGGUGAUGUUUCAUGUAUACAUGCUUCGUGGGGUGUCUGUUCCAGCUCUUGACAAAGAUUGUCCUUGGGAGUUCCUGCCCCAAUAUAUUAGAUUAUUAGGUGGUGACUUGCAUGCUGUAAGUUAUAGCUGGAUGCUUCCACAUUCUGUUCCUUAAAUUGGGAACAGCUUUUCUGACAGCCACGUCAGUCUUUGAGAACACUGAAGUUUCAGAAGCUUGAAGAUCCAGCUAAGGGUGAAGAUACACUUGUUGCCAAAUUGAAGUUGUUGUAUGACUGGCUUAUGGAAUCCAAGCCUUGGAGGAAGUAACUGGGUAAGAUGAUGAGGCCACGAAUCUAGUUUUUGUGCCAAAGAAAAAUAGUGUGUUGUUGUUAUGUUGCCUCAUUCCAAUUCUUUGUUGGUAUAGACAAAAAUAAUAUAGACCUGUGUACUCAAACUCAAUAGGCCUCUAAUGGUU